UGACGCCAUGACGACAGCCAAGUUCCCGAGUGUCACCGAGACCACCGUUACAUGAUCCAUCUCUAAUCAUCUUAAUAUGGACGACCAGAGUCGGCAGGACCCGCGACCCCCCAGGUGCCUCCCCACUCCCUCAGCCUUUCUUGUGACGUCUGGGAUCCGUCCCUUGAGGGGGGCGGGGGGCUAAGGUCAGCUGUGCGACAGGGGAAGCACAGCUCUCACCUUUCCCUUUGAGGUCAUGUCCACGCCAUCCUCUCUGGUGGGCCUGCGGACCCUAUCAUCUCCUCCUAGGUGGACGCUUCUGACUCGGGGCUAGGGGCCGUUAUCUCCUAACAUGCCAGCUCUGAUCAGAAACUGCACCCCGUGCCUUCUUCUCCAGGCCCGUGUAGUGGUUUUGCUGGCACAAAACACCCCGUGUCUUCUUCUACAGGCCUGCGUAGUGGUUUUGCUGGCCUAAACACCAUGUGCUUUCUUCUCCAGGUGUCUCUCGCCUGCAAAGAGAAAUUCUGACAUCGGCAACCAAGACCUCCUGGCUGUUAUACUCGCCCUCCAGCAGUGGAUGCACUGGGUGGAGGGUGCCACACAUCCCUUCAUCAUCUACAACAACCAUCCAAACCUCUCAUAUACGCUCCGCUCACAGCUUAAUCCCUGCCAGACUGGACACUGGCCGAGAGUUAGUGGGCGGCCGAGUGUGGAGUCUGCUCUCCUGGUUGCUUAGUUGGCUCUGUUCCUGUCUCUGGCCAUGCUCCCCCCACCCCAGCAGACGAUGGUGUGCAACACAGCAGAGGCCACCACAACCCUAGGCGAUUACGUUCCAGAUCUCAGAGGUAAACUGUGCAACCCGGUCAGAGGAGAGGUCUUAAGGGGUACCGAAGCACGUGACCCAUGUGCUGAUGAAUGCCUGGGCCACAUCAGUGGGCGACGUUGACGCAAGGGGAACGGCUUCCGGCCAGCGGGUUGUCCUGUCCACUAUGGUAAGGAGCAAACUGCUCCAAUGGUGCCUUGGUUUGGUGGUGCCACACACGGGUCGACCCAGGCGCACACAUCCUUCUUCAGCCCCCUCCAGAAGUACUUCUGGACCACCAGCUUUGCAGUGGCUUUUCUGCCCGGAUGGGCGAGGCUGUGGAUCGCUUCAAAAACAGCACGCCGCCAACCAACAGGAACCAGGGGCCUAGGCUGGCCAGUUGAGAGACCGCACCACAGCCUGAACCCUGAGUCACCGGCCACGACUUCCUCCAGGUCCAGUGUCCGAACCCCUCAGUGUCUGGAUCUCACGGUUAGAGGCCUGUUCCGCACCCAUACGUGAGUGGUCCAGAUCGAACUGCACCGUGCUGACGGUCCCUUUGGAGAGGCAUUCUGCGACCAUGUUGGACUCGACCGCGAUGUGUCGGAUGUCUGUGGUGUACACCCAGAUGAUUGACAGCUGGUGUUGUUGGCGGGCGGCCCACGGCUCAGCCACCUUGGACCCCACUGCUCCAGCACAGUGCCAACGGCAUAGUCCGAUGCAUCCGUCGUGUGAGCAACCGGUGCCUCCUGGGAUGGGUGGACAACAUGGUGGCCUGGCACAGCGCGGCCUUCAUGUCCUCGAAUGCCUUGUCCCUCCCGGCCUUCCAGUCGACAUCCUGGUUAUGGGUCCCACCCUUCAGGGCUUCAUACAGCAGUAAAGCAAGCGGUUGCGAUGAUAAAGGCUGUGCCAGACAUCUUUCCAUCCCCUAUUGCUCCACCAAAGAAGUUUGGGCAUGCAAGUGAGGCCGUGUUUCACAUCCUCGAGGUAAAAAAUGUUGUAUGACCUUUUUUUUCCUGUACUUUACA
Molecule: long non-coding RNA, 1809 nt
Organism: Entelurus aequoreus (snake pipefish)
Lineage: Eukaryota; Metazoa; Chordata; Actinopteri; Syngnathiformes; Syngnathidae
Exons: 9
Source: RefSeq, a predicted model, not a curated record